This 480-nucleotide ribosomal RNA is filed under the name beta proteobacterium Z17. RNAcentral's name for it is "bacterial SSU rRNA". It matches the Rfam family "Bacterial small subunit ribosomal RNA", at positions 388 to 861 of the family's 1533-position model. Lineage: Bacteria; Pseudomonadati; Pseudomonadota; Betaproteobacteria. The record is from RNAcentral.
CCAGCAAUGCCGCGUGCGUGAAGAAGGCCUUCGGGUUGUAAAGCGCUUUUGUCGGGGAGGAAAUCCUAGUGGCUAAUAACUACUGGGGAUGACAGUACCCGAAGAAUAAGGACCGGCUAACUACGUGCCAGCAGCCGCGGUAAUACGUAGGGUCCAAGCGUUAAUCGGAAUUACUGGGCGUAAAGCGUCCGCAGGUGGCUUGAUAAGAUAGACGUGAAAUCCCUGGGCUCAACCUAGGAAUUGCGUUUAUGACUGUCUAGCUAGAGUAUGGGAGAGGGGGGUGGAAUUCCACGUGUAGCAGUGAAAUGCGUAGAGAUGUGGAGGAACACCGAUGGCGAAGGCAACCCCCUGGCCUAAUACUGACACUCAUGGACGAAAGCGUGGGGAGCAAACAGGAUUAGAUACCCUGGUAGUCCACGCCCUAAACGAUGUCUACUAGUUGUUGGGCUUUUCGGAGCUUAGUAACGCAGCUAACGCGUG